This 563-nucleotide ribosomal RNA is filed under the name uncultured Leptosphaeria. RNAcentral describes it as "SSU rRNA". It matches the Rfam family "Eukaryotic small subunit ribosomal RNA", at positions 4 to 570 of the family's 1831-position model. The record is from RNAcentral. Lineage: Eukaryota; Fungi; Ascomycota; Dothideomycetes; Pleosporales; Leptosphaeriaceae.
CUGGUUGAUCCUGCCAGUAGUCAUAUGCUUGUCUCAAAAAUUAAGCCAUGCAUGUCUAAGUAUAAGCAAUUGUACGGUGAAACUGCGAAUGGCUCAUUAAAUCAGUUAUCGUUUAUUUGAUAGUACCUUACUACUUCCAUAUCCGUGGUAAUUCUAGAGCUAAUACAUGCUUACAGCCCCGACUUCUGGAAGGGGCGAGUUUAUUAGAUAAAAAACCAACGCCCUUCGGGGCCUCUUGGUGAUUCAUGAUAACUUCACGGAUCGCAUGGCCUUGCGCCGGCGACGGUUCAUUCAAAUUUCUGCCCUAUCAACUUUCGAUGGUAAGGUAUUGGCUUACCAUGGUUUCAACGGGUAACGGGGAAUUAGGGUUCGAUUCCGGAGAGGGAGCCUGAGAAACGGCUACCACAUCCAAGGAAGGCAGCAGGCGCGCAAAUUACCCAAUCCCGACACGGGGAGGUAGUGACAAUAAAUACUGAUACAGGGCUCUUUUGGGUCUUGUAAUUGGAAUGAGUACAAUUUAAAUCCCUUAACGAGGAACAAUUGGAGGGCAAGUCUGGUCCCUG